CUUGACGAUCAUAGAGCGUUGGAACCACCUGAUCCCUUCCCGAACUCAGAAGUGAAACGACGCAUCGCCGAUGGUAGAUGAUUGUGUGUUGUAAGGU
RNAcentral lists this ribosomal RNA (97 nucleotides) under Pseudomonas aeruginosa. Lineage: Bacteria; Pseudomonadati; Pseudomonadota; Gammaproteobacteria; Pseudomonadales; Pseudomonadaceae. The record is from RNAcentral.